GAUGAAAACGCAGUGAAAUGCGAUAAGUAAUGUGAAUUGCAGAAUUCCGUGAAUCAUCGAAUCUUUGAACGCACAUUGCGCCCUCUGGUAUUCCGGGGGGCAUGCCUGUCCGAGCGUCAUUUGCAACCCUCAAGCCCGGCUUGUGUGAUGGGUGCCGUCCCCUACGGGACGCGCCCCGAAGGCAAUGGCGGCGUCGCGGUUAUCCGAUCAGCCAAAGUGUAUGGGGCUUUGUCACUCACUUUACGGCCCGGACCGGCGCCAGUCCGAAUCAAUCUUUUUUCUAAAGUUGACCUCGGAUCAGGUAGGGAUACCCGCUGAACUUAAGCAUAUCAAUAAGCGGAGGA
RNAcentral lists this unclassified non-coding RNA (344 nucleotides) under soil metagenome. RNAcentral describes it as "partial contains 5.8S ribosomal RNA, internal transcribed spacer 2, and large subunit ribosomal RNA". The stretch from base 1 to 119 matches the Rfam family "5.8S ribosomal RNA", at positions 35 to 154 of the family's 154-position model. The record is from RNAcentral.